AAGAGGUGUGUAAACAACUAGAACUGCUAACUCUU
RNAcentral lists this transfer RNA (35 nucleotides) under Algyroides marchi. RNAcentral's name for it is "partial tRNA-Ser". The record is from RNAcentral. Lineage: Eukaryota; Metazoa; Chordata; Lepidosauria; Squamata; Lacertidae.